Molecule: ribosomal RNA, 736 nt
Filed under: uncultured bacterium
Lineage: Bacteria
Description: bacterial SSU rRNA
Rfam family: Bacterial small subunit ribosomal RNA
Source: RNAcentral
AGUCGAACGCCCUCUUCGGAGGGAGUGGCAGACGGGUGAGUAACGCGUGGGAAUCUACCUAGUGGUGGAGGAUAACUUCGGGAAACCGGAGCUAAUACUCCAUAAGCCCUUCGGGGGAAAGUUUUUUCGCCAUUAGAUGAGCCCGCGUUAGAUUAGCUUGUUGGUAGGGUAAUGGCCUACCAAGGCGACGAUCUAUGGCUGGUCUGAGAGGAUGAUCAGCCACACUGGAACUGAGACACGGUCCAGACUCCUACGGGAGGCAGCAGUGGGGAAUAUUGCACAAUGGGCGCAAGCCUGAUGCAGCCAUGCCGCGUGUGUGAUGAAGGCCUUAGGGUUGUAAAACACUUUCAUCGGUGAAGAUAAUGACGGUAGCCGAAGAAGAAGCCCCGGCUAACUCCGUGCCAGCAGCCGCGGUAAUACGGAGGGGGCAAGCGUUGUUCGGAAUUACUGGGCGUAAAGCGCACGUAGGCGGACUGAUCAGUUGGGGGUGAAAUCCCGAGGCUUAACCUCGGAACUGCCUUCAAUACUGUCAGUCUUGAGAUCGGAAGAGGUGAGUGGAAUUCCUAGUGUAGAGGUGAAAUUCGUAGAUAUUAGGAAGAACACCAGUGGCGAAGGCGGCUCACUGGUCCGAUACUGACGCUGAGGUGCGAAAGCGUGGGGAGCGAACAGGAUUAGAUACCCUGGUAGUCCACGCCGUAAACGAUGAGAGCUAGCCGUCGGACAGUAUACUGUUCGG